AACGAACGCUGGCGGCAUGCCUAACACAUGCAAGUCGAACGAGACCUUCGAGUCUAGUGGCGCACGGGUGCGUAACGCGUGGGAACCUGCCCUUAGGUUCGGAAUAACUCCCCGAAAGGGGUGCUAAUACCGGAUAAUGUCUUCGGACCAAAGAUUUAUCGCCUUUGGAUGGGCCCGCGUUGGAUUAGCUAGUUGGUAGGGUAAAAGCCUACCAAGGCGACGAUCCAUAGCUGGUCUGAGAGGAUGAUCAGCCACACUGGGACUGAGACACGGCCCAGACUCCUACGGGAGGCAGCAGUGGGGAAUAUUGGACAAUGGGCGAAAGCCUGAUCCAGCAAUGCCGCGUGAGUGAUGAAGGCCUUAGGGUUGUAAAGCUCUUUUACCCGGGAUGAUAAUGACAGUACCGGGAGAAUAAGCUCCGGCUAACUACGUG
This 433-nucleotide ribosomal RNA is filed under the name uncultured bacterium. RNAcentral's name for it is "partial 16S ribosomal RNA". It matches the Rfam family "Bacterial small subunit ribosomal RNA", at positions 29 to 507 of the family's 1533-position model. The record is from RNAcentral.